ACCAUCCGGUUUCCAUUCACAUCAGAUCUAAACACUGGUCUGAUGGUUACAAAAGGAGGAGAGGGAACACUGGGAUGGACUCCAAUGCUUUCACAGCACGUGGCCUAGUUUCACACAAGU
Molecule: small nucleolar RNA, 120 nt
Filed under: Echinops telfairi (small Madagascar hedgehog)
Lineage: Eukaryota; Metazoa; Chordata; Mammalia; Afrosoricida; Tenrecidae
Description: Small nucleolar RNA SNORA61 (ENSETEG00000024325.1)
Source: RNAcentral